UAGGGAAUCUUCCGCAAUGGGCGAAAGCUUGACGGAGCAACGCCGCGUGAGUGAUGAAGGUCUUCGGAUCGUAAAACUCUGUUAUUAGGGAAGAACAAAUGUGUAAGUAACUAUGCACGUCUUGACGGUACCUAAUCAGAAAGCCACGGCUAACUACGUGCCAGCAGCCGCGGUAAUACGUAGGUGGCAAGCGUUAUCCGGAAUUAUUGGGCGUAAAGCGCGCGUAGGCGGUUUUUUAAGUCUGAUGUGAAAGCCCACGGCUCAACCGUGGAGGGUCAUUGGAAACUGGAAAACUUGAGUGCAGAAGAGGAAAGUAGAAUUCCAUGUGUAGCGGUGAAAUGCGCAGAGAUAUGGAGGAACACCAGUGGCGAAGGCGACUUUCUGGUCUGUAACUGACGCUGAUGUGCGAAAGCGUGGGGAUCAAACAGG
This 429-nucleotide ribosomal RNA is filed under the name Actinomycetes bacterium. Its description in RNAcentral is "Actinobacteria bacterium partial 16S ribosomal RNA". It matches the Rfam family "Bacterial small subunit ribosomal RNA", at positions 355 to 776 of the family's 1533-position model. Lineage: Bacteria; Bacillati; Actinomycetota; Actinomycetes. The record is from RNAcentral.